Molecule: microRNA precursor, 106 nt
Organism: Nicotiana attenuata
Lineage: Eukaryota; Viridiplantae; Streptophyta; Magnoliopsida; Solanales; Solanaceae
Rfam family: MIR6152 microRNA precursor family
Source: Rfam
UGGACAGAUUAUUGUAUUCGACUGUAUUCGACUAUAUUCACGGCGUGAAACAGGGGAUUACACUGUUUUUAAACGAAAAGUGAAUCAAUUAACAUAAUAGACUCCU